RNAcentral lists this ribosomal RNA (253 nucleotides) under uncultured bacterium. RNAcentral's name for it is "partial 16S ribosomal RNA". It matches the Rfam family "Bacterial small subunit ribosomal RNA", at positions 524 to 776 of the family's 1533-position model. The record is from RNAcentral.
UACGGGGGGGGCAAGCGUUGUUCGGAAUUACUGGGCGUAAAGGGCGCGUAGGCGGCUAUUUAAGUGAGAUGUGAAAUCCCCGGGCUUAACCUGGGAACUGCAUCUUAGACUGGAUAGCUGGAGUGCAGUAGAGGGUAGUGGAAUUUCCGGUGUAGCGGUGAAAUGCGUAGAUAUCGGAAGGAACACCAGUGGCGAAGGCGGCUACCUGGACUGACACUGACGCUGAGGCGCGAGAGCGUGGGGAGCAAACAGG